This 253-nucleotide ribosomal RNA is filed under the name uncultured bacterium. RNAcentral's name for it is "partial 16S ribosomal RNA". It matches the Rfam family "Bacterial small subunit ribosomal RNA", at positions 524 to 776 of the family's 1533-position model. The record is from RNAcentral.
UACGUAGGGUGCAAGCGUUGUCCGGAAUUAUUGGGCGUAAAGAGCUCGUAGGCGGUCUGUUGCGUCGGCUGUGAAAACCCGAGGCUCAACCUCGGGCCUGCAGUCGAUACGGGCAAACUAGAGUACUGCAGGGGAGACUGGAAUUCCUGGUGUAGCGGUGAAAUGCGCAGAUAUCAGGAGGAACACCGGUGGCGAAGGCGGGUCUCUGGGCAGUAACUGACGCUGAGGAGCGAAAGCGUGGGGAGCGAACAGG